CGGGCGGACUGGGGCUCCUGGACCCCCUCCCCUCCCCUCCCCCACGCCCGCCCCCGCCCUGCCCGCGGCCGCGGCCCCAGAUAAGCGCUGGCGCGGCCGGGCUCCGCGGGGCUAGUGGCACCGACUUGGGGUCGGAUGUGGCAUUUGAAGAAAGAAGGCGUGGGUCAAUAAUCAACCCGCACUUUCUCCUCCAAACUGCUGACGCGACUCUAACCGCCUUCUCAACUAAGCCAGCUGCAGGGAAGGCCGUGAGAACCAGACCUAGGAGUGGACUAUCUGGUCCAAAGGGGCUGAGAGCGUUGGAGCGAGGGGCUAGGGCAUCUGCAACGCGUACCCUUCCGGCUCGACCAGAUCAAGCCCAGCCACCCAAGAGCUGGGACCAGACCCGACCUGAGGAGUUGCUGGAGCCGCGGGAGAGCUUGGGUGAGAGCUCAACUCAGACCAGGGCCUCCACCAACCCGCAGCUAGGUGGAUUCUGGGCGGUGGGCCCAGGCGGGCCAAAUAGAACUCUGAUUUUAAGACACGGGUCUUACCCUGGCCUUAAGCCUCUCACCUGAAAUCCAAAAGGCUGGCUUUGGGGACAAGCAUAGGCGAGAUUAUUAAAACUGAUGAUUUAUAAUAGCA
Phodopus roborovskii (desert hamster) is the source of this 624-nucleotide long non-coding RNA. RefSeq lists it as uncharacterized. Lineage: Eukaryota; Metazoa; Chordata; Mammalia; Rodentia; Cricetidae. The transcript is spliced from 2 exons. The record is from RefSeq and is a predicted model, not a curated record.